RNAcentral lists this long non-coding RNA (2438 nucleotides) under Oryza sativa (Asian cultivated rice). RNAcentral describes it as "long non-coding RNA (OSAT_LNC001624)". Lineage: Eukaryota; Viridiplantae; Streptophyta; Magnoliopsida; Poales; Poaceae. The record is from RNAcentral.
GUCUUGUCCCAGGUGCUCUGUACAACAGAGUUUGGAGGAUGGAGUUGUCGAGCUGUGAAGUCCAUGAAGAUAGAGGUUCCAGAUUUGGUCUGUAUAGAAGGAUUCAUCUCAACACAGUGCAAAUUAGGAGAGAAAAAUACAUCAUGACAGAUUACCUGUUCAAGUGGGGAGGUAGUGUCCGUUGUGUUCAGGUAGAAGGCACGACUGGCUUCGUCAAUGGCAUGCCAUCAAGAACUGACACUUGAUGUGAUACUCCGUAGAUCUUAAGUGGAAAAUAAAUAGCUAGAAGGAUGCAAAGGUCAUCUCUCACAAUUCCUUAUUGAAGCGUACAUUGAAUGGGAAAUGCAAUCUGAAUCAUAUUUUUCUAUACAGUGCACUCCAAGUAAGAGGUGAAACUGUAAGUAAAGAAAUUUGCUGCCAAAGCAUUAUACUCGUACAUAAUAAUAACAAAUGGCCUUGUUUUCUCAUAACUGCAAAACAGAUUUAAUCUAAAGAAAAAUACAGAAAUCAAAGAUCUUCCAUUCCUGUUUUGUAAGCUGAAUUUGAGACUAUUUGAGUUUUCCCUCGGGAGAAAAUGCAAGCAUACCUACAAAUCAACAAUCAUGAAAAUGAAUUAAGAUUAGCAUAUGAAUUUAUUAUAUUAUGCUUAAACACAAUCAUAUUCAGUCGUAAAUCUUUAUCUGACUUUUACUUACAUGCACAAAUACUCCAAUUGAUAGGAUGAUUAAUCCAAGAUGCUACUGUACUAUUGCCACAUGCUUCUCUACAUGGGUCAUAAACUCCUAACACAAGCGUACGACAUGGAUUAAUAAUAUUCUCAAAUUCUUGGUUAGAAUCCAUCUGUGCCACUAAAGUUACAAAAUAAAAGCUCUGCAUUACUGACCAUCACCCAUUUUGACAAAAGAAGCCUUCCCAUGCUGAACAACUGAAUUUGGGAAAUAAUACCAAGGAAUAGUAAACAAACAAAAUGGACCUGCAUAAUCUUUUUACUUGCAAACAUGGGUGGGAACAUACUUUGACCUGAUCUGUUGGAGCGCUAGCUAGUGACAUGUCUAAUUGCUCACAUCCAAACAGUAAGUUACUUUUAUAUCAUCCAAGGAAAAAGGAAUUUCCUACUGCAUCAUAAGAUUUUAUCUACUAAACUUAUGAACCAAAACAGCACAAGAUUCUACAUGCAUUCAUGUAAACAGUCAGGCAAUGGAUGAAUCGGGGAAAAAAAUGGAGGGUGUAGACAAAUAUCGAGCUGUCAAUUCAUUCAUAUAAAUAAUUAUGAUGCAAGACAUCAGAUCGGUAGAUAAAAUAAGGUACACCUAUCAUCGAAGGAUUUUUUUUUGCCAGGCCAUUUCAACAUCCUUACAGAUAAAAUGGGAUUAGAGGAUUUUUUUUCUCUUCUGUUUUUUGGGUUUGCACUGAAUUUUGUGUGGGUGUGUGAAAGUGCAAUUUUACUGCAUUAGUACAGGAUAUUUAUUAAAAAAAAGGCUUUAAAUUGUGUUUUAUAUUUCACCGGGCACUUUGUGUUUUGUAUGAAAGGUGCUCUUACCUGAAAAAUUAUAUGAAGAGUGAUUGACUGUAAUAGUAUUUUGGAAUUUCACAACACAUAUGUCAACCGUUAAAAAAAACUCACUUGAUAUUGUUAAUGAUGUUGGAAGUCAGUAACUAUGGAAGUCCAAAGCUGAAAUAUUGCCAAUUCUUUACAAAUGCACUACUAAUAUAGCUAUGUGGAGCUGGAGAUAUGCCCUACACGUUUUGAAACACAGAAACCAUGCAGUUGGUUCAAACACUGUAGCAUCUAGGAACAAUAAUCAUAAACAAAUACUGCCUGACAAUAACAUAGAAACGCUGCCAAUCAUGUGCAAUUAAAUAUGUUCUCAUCAAGGCAUUUCAUCGAGCAGUACGAGUGCAUUGGAACGAAGAAUACCUGUCCAGAGCGAGUGUUGUGAGCAGGAUGUGCCACGGCGUCGGUCGGGCGGUGCGAAUCGGCGGCCGACGGUGAGGGGAGGGAUGACGUCGGCGGCGGCCCUCGUCGACGGAGUCUAGCGGCACGAUGAGCCAGCGGUUAGAGGAAUCGGCGGGCGGCGAAGGUCAGGGGAGGGAUGACGUCGGGGCAGCGAGGGCGGCGGCGGCGGGGUGUAGGCGUGUCAUCCGACGAUGGCGAGGGGAGGGAUGACGUCGGCGGUGAAGCUAGUCGACGGGUGUCGGGCGGUGCGAGGGGGCGGUGGUUAGGGUUCCGGCGAUGGUGAGGGGAGGGACGAAGUCGGCACCGGGGAGGUGACGAAGUUGGUGGAGGCGGGUGAUGAAUCCCGAGGUCGGGCGGCGAGGGCGGCGGAGGUGGGGUUGGGGCAGCGAGGGCGGCGGAUGUGGGGUGGCGGCGGCGAUACGAGAAAGAGGAAAGGAGGAGCGAAAGGAGAGAGCAGGCGAGCGAAAGGAGGAGCGCGGCG